This 4685-nucleotide unclassified non-coding RNA is filed under the name Hevea brasiliensis (rubber tree). The record is from RNAcentral. Lineage: Eukaryota; Viridiplantae; Streptophyta; Magnoliopsida; Malpighiales; Euphorbiaceae.
AAGGACAGUACCGGAAGCGCAAGGCACCUUAGAAAGUCGCCGGUGCAUUCCAUCCAUUACGGGUUGUAGGCGCCACCGUCUUAAUCUAUAGAAACAGCGUGGCGAGGGUUCAUUGGAAGGAUUGAUGGGGAAGGAGAGCGAAACUACGGCCAUGGAAAUUGACGCUCCAAAAUCCAAUUCCUAUCAGAUCAAUCCCAGAUAUUCAGUCAACGUGUUGCAGCUGCUGAAGUCUGCGCAGAUGCAGCAUGGGUUGCGACAUGGAGAUUAUGCUCGUUAUCGGAGGUAUUGUACUGCUCGGCUCAGGAGGUUAUAUAAAUCAUUGAAGUUUACCCAUGGACGUGGAAAAUACACUCGUAGAGCUAUAACUGAAUCCACUGUUACUGAAGUGAGGUUUCUGCAUCUGGUUCUUUAUUCUGCUGAGAGAGCUUGGAGCCAUGCCAUGGAGAAACGACAGCUUCCAGAUGGUCCAAAUGGAAGACAACGCAUAUAUCUGAUUGGGAGACUGAGGAAAGCUGUAAAAUGGGCUGAUCAGUUCUCACGGCUGUGUGCUGCCAAGGGAGAUUCCAGAACAUCUUUGGAAGCUGAGGCAUAUGCUGCCUAUAUGAAUGGAAAUUUGUUGUUUGAACAAGAUCGGAACUGGGACACUGCAUUGAAGAACUUCAUAAGUGCCAGAGCUGUGUACGAGGAACUGGGGAAAUAUGGGGGCCUGGAAAAUCAGCUUUUAUGCCGUGAGCGUGUUGAGGAGCUGGAACCUAGUAUUCGAUACUGCCGGCACAAAAUUGGCGGGUCAAAUCUACAAACUUCUGACCUCCUACAAAUUGGUGAGAUGGAAGGUCCUGCAUUGGACCUCUUCAAAGCUAAAUUGGAGGCUGUUAUGGCUGAGGCAAGGUCCCAACAGGCAGCUUCCCUGACAGAGUUUCAUUGGCUUGGUCACAAAUUUCCAAUAUCAAAUCCAAAAACUCGGGUUGCGAUUUUAAAAGGUCAGUAACUUUUUACUAGUAGUAAUGAUUAGAGGGGUAAACAUUGCUUCUAAGUAAUAUAUUUACUAUUUGAUAUGUAAUUAUCUUGUGUAGCCUUUUCUUUUUAAUUCUAUUUUUUCUCUCACAUCUUUUGAUUAGCAAAAAAAAUAUCAUUGGAAGGCACCAAGGAGAUGACAGCCCAAGUACAUAACAAUAUCAUUUAUAAGAAAAAAAGCGGGCAGUGGCAGUUCACAUAUCUACAAAAUGUCGCGGACUAAUCCAAAAGUUCAAUGGUCUUAUAACCCCAUUCAUUUACUCUCUGAUAGUAUUUCUAGCAACAUGGUUGGCUGGUUGUAUAUGGAAUUUCUAUCUCUAUUUUUCAACCUAUUUUUUACCUAGUCUAUUUGACACUGAAGCUUGGUUGAGUAGGGGGUUAUAUUUGGUAUAUUUUUUUCUUAUGGGAAAGUAUAGCUGAAGCCAAGUAAUCACAAUGCAUCCCUGUGGUUUUUGCUCAGCACAAUCAUGGAUAUGAAAUUUGAUUGUGUUUCUGAUAAUUACAAGAGUCUUCUGUUCUCAAGACCUAUAGGAAAAUGCUAGUAUUUGGCACAAGCACCGUGUAGUUUGACAUUGCUAUGCUAGGAAGCAUACAAGCUUGUAUGCAUUGUCUUUAUGUUAUGAUUGUGGACUUGCUUUCAUUCUGUAAUUGUGGACUUGAGGUGGUUACAUGCACAUUAUAAAUAUUUCUUUGUUUCCCUUCAAUUUAUUUUAUUGUUUGCUUGGCUAGUCAAGUUCUGUUUGUUGUUUGAUUAUCUCUUCAGCUCAAGAACUAGAGAAGGAUUUGCACGGUCCUACUGCCGAUUCACUCCCAGCAGAGAAAAAAUUAGUCAUCUUUGACAAAAUUUUUACUGCCUAUCAUGAAGCUAGAAGCUCCAUUCGCAGUGACUUGUGCAGGUAAUGCCGACAGUGUAAAAGAUGACUUAAGUGGCCUUGAUAAAGCAGUUAGUGCUGUAUUAGGACAACGGACAAUUGAGCGUAACCAGUUGUUGGUUACCAUUGCAAAGAGUAAACUUACUAGGCGCUGUGAUGACAAAAAUGAGAAGGUUACCAAGCCUGAGGAGCUUGUUCGCUUGUAUGAUCUUUUAUUGCAGAACACAUCUGAUCUUUCUGACUUAGUUAGUUCUGGAAGAGAUACAAAACAUGAGGAGAUUGCAUUCUCUGAAAACUGUUCAGUUAGAAAUUUGGCUUUCCGAGCUGAAAGGUGCUUCUACCUAGCAAAGUCAUACAGCUUAGCUGGGAAGAGAACAGAAGCAUAUGCAUUAUACUGCCGUGCUCGUUCCCUUGCUGAGAAUGCCUUACAGAAUUUUCAGCCUCUCAAUAACACUGAUGAGGUGAUUCAGCCUAGAAAAAGGACUGUGACCCUUUUUUGGCAGUACUGCCACAAAAUUAAUUGAAAUUUCUUGUCAAUUUUUAGUGCGAAUCUAGAUUCUUCAUUGCAUGGUAAAUUCAUCCACAAAAAUAGCUAUUAAUGCUUCAUGGGUGUAGGAUUAUAUUUGUGAGUUCUGACAUAUAACUUGUUCUAUCUAAUAUUUGAUUGCUUAAUCAUUUUGCAUUACAGAUGAUGAUUACAGAGCUGAAGACAUUAUACGAUGGGUGCAGAUCUAAUAGUUGUAUAGAGCAUGCAUUAGGAAUUUUGGAGGAAGAAAAAGCUCCGGAGAACCUGUCGAAGAAAGUUUCUGCAAUAUCAUUAAGCAGGGGUGACAAGAAGGUGCAAUCUGAGCUUGAUUCUAUUAUUUCUUUUAAAAUUAACCAACCGUCUUUUAUUCUUUAUUAUAUAAUUAUGCAACAAAGAAGAGGACUAGCUUGCAGGAGGGAACAUUGUAUAUUUGUAUUUCAAUUUAUCUUUUCUUUUUGCCUUAUUUUGAUUAUUUUACAUUGUUUGACUAAUUUCCGUGGGAAUAUAAGAUCACAUUGUAAUACUUUGAAGUUAUCCUGACCUUAAAUAGUGCCGAAGUUUCAUGCACUGAGCAAUCCCCACAGAUGCACCUCAUGCAUCUGUGAUGCAAUUGAUAUUCUUUACAUGCUUGUCCGUUUGUUCUUAUCAUUCUAGUGCACAAAUUUAGUUUUUUAUUUUGUCAAAUGCCUGAAAACAGGACCUUAUCAUACGAUUUGCAUUAAUAAUGUCAGUUCAAUAUAUAAGCAUCUUAAUUGUGUGGUAUUCCCCACGUCCAACGUGGUGGGGUUUUUGUUUUUUUUUUAUUUAGGGAGAGAGGGGGAGGGGAGAGAGAGAAGGGGGGGCGGGGGGCGCCGUGUACAUUGAUGUUCUUUUACACAAAAUGAUAGGAAUAUUAUGGUCACUAUAUCUGUUGUAGCAGAUGGAAAAUUUGAUCAUAAUUAUUAUUGGAUGCUUUAGAAGUAAUACUUGUGCAUGCCUUUGUAUGUAUCAUUUUUGGCUACUAUUAAAAUGAGUUGAAAUUCAGGGUAAUUCUGAAUCAUAACAUCUGUUAUGCUGUAGUGACGUGUGAUAUUUGUGAUUUAUUAGUGCAUUCUCUUUUGUAACUGAGCUUGUAGGAAUUCACUGUAUUUAUCUAUUGCAUAUUAUCUAUCCUAGAAGAGACAAGAGGACUGCCAUGAACAACAUAUUUGCCGUACUUGUAUCCAAGUUUAUGUUCACUUGCAUCUGAUAUUCAUACACCUUACUUUGGUUUGCUUGCUAAUUUAAAUGUGUUAGGUGGAAAAAUCCCUUCUUGAGAAACUUGAUGCCUAUGAGUCUGCAGUUGGCGAUGCAAAUGUGAAGGCUCCUCCUCGCAUUGAAGUGUUCCCUCCAGCCUUCAAAACAAUACCUCGAAAUCCCAUCAUUCUUGACCUUGCCUAUAAUAAUAUUGAUUUCCCAUCACUAGAGAACAGGAUGAAGAAGGACAAGAAAGGCUUCAUAAGUAGGCUUUGGCGAUGAGUUUUAUAGGAGGCGGCAAUAACUUAAAAAACUAGGAAAAUAAAAAAGCAACAGGAAUUCUGAGAUGAGGUAUGGAGGCAUUUGCUUUGUAGUUAGCAGUUGAGUUUUCAAAUUAUAUUUAUUUAUUUCCAUGAUGGUAUUGCCUUUGAAUUUUUGGGAUUUUUUUUUUUAAAUGGGCUUAUUUUAGUAAAUUUUAACAAAAAAGAUGAAGUGGAAUAAAUGUCUUGUUUGGUAGUGGGCUUGUGAAGAAGGUUUGAUGGUAAAAAAACAAAAAAAAACUAUUUAUUUCUUCAACGAAAUACCCAUUUUAUGUUUACUCGGAUAGAUAAAUAGAAAAAAUAGAAAGGUUCAAUUUUCAAUUCUGGAGCUUUUACCUUUUCUAGGGAGAAAUGGGGAGAACCAGAAGCUUUGGAGCUUUUCAGAUUAAUAUAAUUGGUUGGCUCUCGGCAUUUUUAUGUGGUAUGGCUGGAAUGCGUUCUACGAAAUUGUUGUAGUCUUGCAGUCUGCAGGGGGUUGGAGAAUUUGAGGAUUGGUGAGAAACAAGACGCAACAUUAGGCUUUUGCUUUGGAGAGCGCUAGAGUGAUGGCUAAAAGCGGCAAGGGAAAGGGGCGUAGGAAAAGAAGUGUUGUGUUUCAAGAUAUUUGUAUGUAUGGUUUCUAAUUGAGUUUGAAGAAUUAUACACUAACGCUAAGGAUUAAGGUUUCAGAUUUGGCUUGGUUUGAAACUCAAUUGAGAUCGAACUGAUAUAAUUUUAUUAUUUAUAUUAAAUUUUUUU